ACUGCAGGUGUGGCAGCUGUGUGCCAGCGGGGGGGGGGAAGGGCAGGGGCAGGGAGAAGAGGUCCUGUGUGCCUCAGUGUCCUGCCCUGUGAACACCUGAAUGAUCAGUAGCUUGACACU
Molecule: small nucleolar RNA, 120 nt
Filed under: Neotoma lepida (desert woodrat)
Lineage: Eukaryota; Metazoa; Chordata; Mammalia; Rodentia; Cricetidae
Description: Small nucleolar RNA SNORA17
Rfam family: Small nucleolar RNA SNORA17
About the family: snoRNA ACA 17 belongs to the H/ACA family of snoRNAs and is predicted to guide pseudouridylation of the 28S rRNA at positions U4659 and U4598. It shares the same host gene together with ACA43. NB This family has a high threshold value to exclude a large number of closely related sequences that do not appear to have conserved H and ACA boxes, and may be pseudogenes.
Source: Rfam by way of RNAcentral